UUCACUUGGUAUAUUCUAUCCUUCACAGAUACCUGUCCUCAAUGAAGAUCCUGAUUUGGUUACAAGAUUGAGACAACUUGCUACAUAUCUGUCCAUGGCAUCUAAUUCACAAAUUUGAAGGUGGACCCAUCUUUCUUUCCCAAUUGUGCAUUCACCUUUCUCGUGGUGUUCAGAUUCAUCACACUGUUCUUUCUUCAAGUUUCUUCCCUUGCCCUGUUUAGUGGAAUUUUCUUGCUCUGUGAAUCAGUGAAUAAAUUUCAUCUUCUGGCAUAAA
Long non-coding RNA from Peromyscus leucopus (white-footed mouse), 274 nucleotides. RefSeq lists it as uncharacterized. The record is from RefSeq and is a predicted model, not a curated record. NCBI's taxonomy places the organism in Eukaryota, Metazoa, Chordata, Mammalia, Rodentia, Cricetidae. The transcript is spliced from 2 exons.